UACGUAGGGGGCAAGCGUUGUCCGGAAUCAUUGGGCGUAAAGCGCGUGUAGGCGGUUCUAUAAGUCUGCUGUGAAAGUCGGAGGCUCAACCUUCGAAAGCCGGUGGAUACUGUGGAACUAGAGUGCGGAAGAGGCAAGUGGAAUUCCUGGUGUAGCGGUGAAAUGCGCAGAUAUCAGGAGGAACACCAACGGCGAAGGUAGCUUGCUGGGACGUUACUGACGCUGAGACGCGAAAGCGUGGGGAGCAAACAGG
RNAcentral lists this ribosomal RNA (253 nucleotides) under uncultured bacterium. RNAcentral describes it as "partial 16S ribosomal RNA". It matches the Rfam family "Bacterial small subunit ribosomal RNA", at positions 524 to 776 of the family's 1533-position model. The record is from RNAcentral.